UGCAUCGGCCGGGAAUCGAACCCGGCAGGCGAGCAUUCUACCACUGAACCACCGAUGC
This 58-nucleotide transfer RNA is filed under the name Cordylochernes scorpioides. RNAcentral describes it as "tRNA-OTHER". The record is from RNAcentral. Lineage: Eukaryota; Metazoa; Arthropoda; Arachnida; Pseudoscorpiones; Chernetidae.